Long non-coding RNA from Polypterus senegalus (gray bichir), 483 nucleotides. RefSeq lists it as uncharacterized. NCBI's taxonomy places the organism in Eukaryota, Metazoa, Chordata, Cladistia, Polypteriformes, Polypteridae. The transcript is spliced from 3 exons. The record is from RefSeq and is a predicted model, not a curated record.
CAAAGUCAACUGUAAAUAGAGGGCUGAUGAUUUGAAAAGCCUUUAAAUAUAACACGGGGUGGUUAGUGCAAAACACACCAGAGACUUGCAGCAAUAACAAGAGGAACCUGCUGCUUCUAUUCUUUCAAAGGAGCUUUCUAAAACCUUCAGCCAGCAUGGUCCUGUACUACAGAGUCUCCUGCCUGCUGGCAUUUCUUCUUCUCUUAACCUUUCCAGUGGUCCAUUCUGCUCCUGUCGAACACCUUUGUGGGGGUGACCUCGUUGAUGCCAUAAAUUUUCUUUGUGGAUUUGAUAUGUAUAAAAUCGAUCCACGAAAGAAUCCCAAUCGUAUACCUUUCAAAAAGCUCAACAUCCACAAUGACUGUUGCAUUAAUUCUUGUUCUCUGACUUAUUUGGAAGAGUACUGCGAAGAAUACAAGUGAUUGUUUGUCAUUUAUGUUAAACUAUAAUGUUAAAACAUAAAUAAUACUAUUCAAAAACACA